UAGUCUACGCCGUAAACGAUGCGCACUAGGUACAGGAGUCUCUGACGGCGCCUGUGCCGAAGCAAAAGUGUUAAGUGCGCCGCCUGGGGAGUACGGCCGCAAGGCUAAAACUCAAAGGAAUUGACGGGGGCUCACACAAGCGGUGGAGCAUGUGGCUCAAUUCGAAGCAACGCGAAGAACCUUACCCGGGUUCAAAUCUUGGGAUGCCUACCUGGAAACAGGUUUUGGCUGCUCUUCGGAGUGAAACCUUGAUCGGUGCUGCAUGGCUGUCGUCAGCUCGUGCUGUGAAGUGUUGGGUUAAGUCCCGUAACGAGCGAAACCCUUGUCGUUAGUUGCCAGCGGGUAAUGCCGGGGACUCUAACGAGACUGCCGGUGUCAAACCGGAGGAAGGUGGGGAUGACGUCAAGUCCUCAUGGCCCUUAAGCCCGGGGCGGCACACGUGCUACAAUGGGGUGAACAGAGCGACGCGAGGCCGCGAGGCGGAGCAAAUCGCAAAAAUCACUCCUCAGUUCGGAUUGG
This 519-nucleotide ribosomal RNA is filed under the name uncultured bacterium. RNAcentral's name for it is "bacterial SSU rRNA". It matches the Rfam family "Bacterial small subunit ribosomal RNA", at positions 791 to 1301 of the family's 1533-position model. The record is from RNAcentral.